UUCGCCCUUAGAGUUUGAUCCUGGCUCAGGACGAACGCUGGCGGCGCGCCUAACACAUGCAAGUCGAACGAGCGAGAGAGAGCUUGCUUUCUCGAGCGAGUGGCGAACGGGUGAGUAACGCGUGAGGAACCUGCCUCAAAGAGGGGGACAACAGUUGGAAACGACUGCUAAUACCGCAUAAGCCCACGGCUCGGCAUCGAGCAGAGGGAAAAGGAGCAAUCCGCUUUGAGAUGGCCUCGCGUCCGAUUAGCUAGUUGGUGAGGUAAUGGCCCACCAAGGCGACGAUCGGUAGCCGGACUGAGAGGUUGAACGGCCACAUUGGGACUGAGACACGGCCCAGACUCCUACGGGAGGCAGCAGUGGGGAAUAUUGCACAAUGGGGGAAACCCUGAUGCAGCGACGCCGCGUGGAGGAAGAAGGUCUUCGGAUUGUAAACUCCUGUUGUUGAGGAAGAUAAUGACGGUACUCAACAAGGAAGUGACGGCUAACUACGUGCCAGCAGCCGCGGUAAAACGUAGGUCACAAGCGUUGUCCGGAAUUACUGGGUGUAAAGGGAGCGCAGGCGGGAAGACAAGUUGGAAGUGAAAUCCAUGGGCUCAACCCAUGAACUACUUUCAAAACUGUUUUUCUUGAGUAGUGCAGAGGUAGGCGGGAAUUCCCGGUGUAGCGGGGGAAUGCGUAGAUAUCGGGAGGAACACCAGUGGCGAAGGCGGCCUACUGGGCACCAACUGACGCUGAGGCUCGAAAGUGUGGGUAGCAAACAGGAUUAGAUACCCUGGUAGUCCACACUGUAAACGAUGAUUACUAGGUGUUGGAGGAUUGACCCCUUCAGUGCCGCAGUUAACACAAUAAGUAAUCCACCUGGGGAGUACGACCGCAAGGUUGAAACUCAAAGGAAUUGACGGGGGCCCGCACAAGCAGUGGAGUAUGUGGUUUAAUUCGACGCAACGCGAAGAACCUUACCAAGUCUUGACAUCCUGCGACGGUUCUGGAAACAGAACUUUCCUUCGGGACGCAGAGACAGGUGGUGCAUGGUUGUCGUCAGCUCGUGUCGUGAGAUGUUGGGUUAAGUCCCGCAACGAGCGCAACCCUUAUGGUCAGUUACUACGCAAGAGGACUCUGGCCAGACUGCCGUUGACAAAACGGAGGAAGGUGGGGAUGACGUCAAAUCAUCAUGCCCUUUAUGACUUGGGCUACACACGUACUACAAUGGCGUUAAACAAAGAGAAGCAAGACCGCGAGGUGGAGCAAAACUCAGAAACAACGUCCCAGUUCGGACUGCAGGCUGCAACUCGCCUGCACGAAGUCGGAAUUGCUAGUAAUCGCAGAUCAGCAUGCUGCGGUGAAUACGUUCCCGGGCCUUGCACACACCGCCCGUCA
Molecule: ribosomal RNA, 1380 nt
Filed under: uncultured bacterium
Lineage: Bacteria
Description: 16S ribosomal RNA
Rfam family: Bacterial small subunit ribosomal RNA
Source: RNAcentral